Molecule: ribosomal RNA, 496 nt
Filed under: uncultured bacterium
Lineage: Bacteria
Description: partial 16S ribosomal RNA
Rfam family: Bacterial small subunit ribosomal RNA
Source: RNAcentral
GAUGGACGCUGGCGGCGUGCCUAAUACAUGCCAGUCGAGCGAACAGACGAGGAGCUUGAUCCUCUGACGUUAGCGGCGGACGGGUGAGUAACACGUGGAUAACCUACCUAUCAGACUGGGAUAACUUCGGGAAACCGGCGCUAAUACCGGAUAAUAUAUUGAACCGCAUGGUUCAAUAGUGAAAGACGGUUUUGCUGUCACUUAUCGAUGGAUCCGCGCAGCGUUAGCUUGUUGGUAGGGUAACGGCUUACCAAGGCAACGAUGCGUAGCCGACGUGAGAGGGGGUACGCCCACAGUGAAAGUGAGAGACGAUCCAGACACCGAGGGGAGGCACCAGUAGGGAAGCUUCCGAAAUGGGCGAAAGCUUGACGAAGGAACGCAGGGUGGGUGAUGAGGGGCUGCGUGGGGUAAAACUGUGUUAGGGGGGAAGAACAAAUGUGUAAGGAACGAUGCGCGACUGAAGGGUACCGAAGCAGAAGGCCACGCUAAACAAGUU